ACGUUAGCGGCGGACGGGUGAGUAGCACGUGGGUAACCUACCUAUAAGACUGGGAUAACUUCGGGAAACCGGAGCUAAUACCGGAUAAUAUUUCGAACCGCAUGGUUCGAUAGUGAAAGAUGGUUUUGCUAUCACUUAUAGAUGGACCCGCGCCGUAUUAGCUAGUUGGUAAGGUAACGGCCUACCAAGGCGACGAUACGUAGCCGACCUGAGAGGGUGAUCGGCCACACUGGAACUGAGACACGGUCCAGACUCCUACGGGAGGCAGCAGCC
Molecule: ribosomal RNA, 273 nt
Filed under: uncultured Staphylococcus sp.
Lineage: Bacteria; Bacillati; Bacillota; Bacilli; Caryophanales; Staphylococcaceae
Description: partial 16S ribosomal RNA
Rfam family: Bacterial small subunit ribosomal RNA
Source: RNAcentral